AUACGUAGGGUGCGAGCGUUAAUCGGAAUUACUGGGCGUAAAGCGUGCGCAGGCGGUUAUGUAAGACAGAUGUGAAAUCCCCGGGCUCAACCUGGGAACUGCAUUUGUGACUGCAUAGCUAGAGUACGGCAGAGGGGGAUGGAAUUCCGCGUGUAGCAGUGAAAUGCGUAGAUAUGCGGAGGAACACCGAUGGCGAAGGCAAUCCCCUGGGCCUGCACUGACGCUCAUGCACGAAAGCGUGGGGAGCAAACAGGAUUAGAAACCCUAGUAGUCC
RNAcentral lists this ribosomal RNA (274 nucleotides) under uncultured bacterium. RNAcentral describes it as "partial 16S ribosomal RNA". It matches the Rfam family "Bacterial small subunit ribosomal RNA", at positions 523 to 796 of the family's 1533-position model. The record is from RNAcentral.